AAAACUUUCAACAACGGAUCUCUUGGUUCUGGCAUCGAUGAAGAACGCAGCGAAAUGCGAUAAGUAAUGUGAAUUGCAGAAUUCAGUGAAUCAUCGAAUCUUUGAACGCACAUUGCGCCCCUCGGCAUUCCGGGGGCAUGCCUGUUCGAGCGUCAUUA
Molecule: ribosomal RNA, 158 nt
Filed under: Glaucomaria carpinea
Lineage: Eukaryota; Fungi; Ascomycota; Lecanoromycetes; Lecanorales; Lecanoraceae
Also listed under: 1 other name
Description: Lecanora carpinea 5.8S ribosomal RNA
Rfam family: 5.8S ribosomal RNA
About the family: 5.8S ribosomal RNA (5.8S rRNA) is a component of the large subunit of the eukaryotic ribosome. It is transcribed by RNA polymerase I as part of the 45S precursor that also contains 18S and 28S rRNA. Functionally, it is thought that 5.8S rRNA may be involved in ribosome translocation.
Source: RNAcentral